CGGAUGUCAGUGUCAAACUCAAAUUCAUCCGACGUUGGAUUCGAAAUCGUGCGCCGUGGAGAUUUGUUCCUAUCAUGUUAUUAUUUGUGUGGCUAAUUUAGUAAAUUAAGUCACCACUAUGGCUACAAACGAUUCAAAUGUAGAAGAUGAUGCUUCAUGUCACACUAUUUUGGAUAAAAUCAAUUCAAUAAACGACACUGUUGUCACCAAGGCACCAGAUAUUAAUGAUUUCACCAUCAUUAAACCUAUUAGCCGUGGCGCUUUCGGUAAAGUUUUCUUAGCACACAAAAAGAGCAAUAAGGAUCAGCUGUAUGCCAUCAAAGUUAUGAAAAAGUCGGAUAUGAUCAACAAAAAUAUGGUCACGCAAGUUGUAACUGAGAGAAAUGCUUUGGCACUCUCAAGAAGCCCUUUUUGUGUCCAUUUAUUUUAUUCUUUGCAAUCAACUUCUUCUAUAUACCUGGUGAUGGAGUAUAUGGUUGGUGGUGAUUUAAAAUCAUUGCUUGGUGUUUAUGGGUUUUUAGAAGAAUCUAUGGCAGUUUUUUAUGUAGCAGAAGUCACUCUUGCUCUGGACUACUUGCACAAACACAACAUUGUACAUAGAGAUUUGAAACCAGAUAACAUGCUCAUCUCCAGAUCAGGCCAUGUCAAACUAACUGAUUUUGGUUUGUCCAAAAUUGAAGUUAAUAGAGAUUUGGAGAUAUCAGACUUUGUGAACUGCACCCCCAGCCUGAACAUGAGAACACCAGGCCAGCUGCUGUCACUCACAUCUCACUUGUCCUUUGGCUCCGGAGAGAACAGCACACACAACUCUGUCAUGUCUACAGACGCUUGUGAGAACCUUCUUGAUGAGCUUAAAGAGACCAGCAAACUGAAAAACCUUUUUGAUGGAGUCAGUGGGUUAGAAUGCUCACCGUUAUUGAAUCAGUCACAGAUGUCAGGGAUACAUCCAUUUAUGAGCGCUGAAAGCAUUAAUUUCGAAAAUUCUCAAGACUCAGGCUCAUAUCACACUUGUGAAAGUUCAAAGAACAGUUCGAACUCUAGAAGUAACAAGUCUACAGACCCAAGUAGCAAUAGUUCAGUGGGAGAGUCCACUAUGCUGUCUGAUUCACAACAUGAUCAAUCCACUUCACCACUGUGCAGGGGACACUCUUUGAAGAGAAUACCCAGCUUCAGAGCCAAAAAAAGAAAGAGGAUUUUGGAUUGUGAUGGUGACACCCCCACAGGUGUUACAAGCCUCUUGGAGUCUAAAGAAAAUCACAGUGGCCUUACACAAGAAAUCAUGGCAUUAGAGUUGAGCCAGAACACACCCAAACGCAUGUCCAUACACCCUACGCCGGACAAACGUAAAAAUCCUAUAAAGGGUGUGUUAAAGAAACGAUGGGUAUCGCAAAAUGAUAGCCACCAUUUCAAUGUAGGAGUAAUUUUUUCUACUCCUGUAUCAAACAAGUCGCCAGAAACAAAGAAGAAAGAGACUCGUUUCAAUCUUCCCAAAGAAGAUCAUCCACCAUCUGGGACUAAGGAAAAAACUAUAAUGUUUGGCAAACAUGUUUCAACAAGCUUAGAAAUAUUUCCUACUAGGAGGUUAAGUAAGGGCGAAGGAAGUCGGUCACCUACAGAUUUGUGUAGGACUCCUCUAGCCACCGCUCAUACGCCAUACAGGACGCCGAAGAGUGUGCGGCGAGGCAACUUAGUUUCAGACCAAAGGAUCUUAGGAACUCCUGAUUAUUUAGCACCUGAGUUACUUUUGAGACAUCGAAUGGCCAGAAGACGACGAGGCGCUAUCUCCGGAGGCAGUGAGCGCGAUCGAGGCGUUACUCACCAUGGAGCCGGCAGCGCGGCCGGCGGCCACAGCCGUGAAGGAAAUGCCUAUAUUCCGCAACAUCGACUGGGAUAACCAACUCAAUGUAGAGCCGCCCUUUGUACCUACCCUCGAUGAUGUACACGAUACUGGCUACUUUCAAGCUCGCAAUAUCCUGCAACAUUUGCAUGUUUCUAACUUCGACAUGUAACGGGAGGUAACUGUAGGUAGACAUAUUACUCAAUAUUUAAACAAAUGUAUUCGUAGAUAAUGUGAUAUGUAGUGCGUAUAAUCGAUUUUAAUAUUGUGAUUAUUAUAGCAAAUAUUUUACUUACAAUAAUGUACUAAUCAAAACCAUAUAUUUAAAGACUGAUUUUAUGAACUGUAUGCCAUUUCAUUAAUUACUAUUUAAGCGAAUUUUCAUAAUGAUUUUUGAUAGUCAGUGUUUAUCAUGUAGUCGUAAGAUUUUAAAAUAAAUAACAGUACAUUCCAAA
This 2292-nucleotide unclassified non-coding RNA is filed under the name Helicoverpa zea (corn earworm). RNAcentral describes it as "serine/threonine-protein kinase greatwall, transcript variant X2". The record is from RNAcentral. Lineage: Eukaryota; Metazoa; Arthropoda; Insecta; Lepidoptera; Noctuidae.